AUUGAACGCUGGCGGCAUGCCUAACACAUGCAAGUCGAACGAAGCCUUCGGGCUUAGUGGCGCACGGGUGCGUAACGCGUGGGAAUCUGCCCUUAGGUUCGGAAUAACUCUCCGAAAGGAGUGCUAAUACCGGAUGAUGUCGAAAGACCAAAGAUUUAUCGCCCAGGGAUGAGCCCGCGUAGGAUUAGCUAGUUGGUGAGGUAAAAGCUCACCAAGGCGACGAUCCUUAGCUGGUCUGAGAGGAUGAUCAGCCACACUAGGACUGAGACACGGCCCAGACUCCUACGGGAGGCAGCAGUGGGGAAUAUUGGACAAUGGGCGAAAGCCUGAUCCAGCAAUGCCGCGUGAGUGAUGAAGGCCUUAGGGUUGUAAAGCUCUUUUACCCGGGAUGAUAAUGACAGUACCGGGAGAAUAAGCCCCGGCUAACUCCGUGCCAGCCGCCGCGGUAA
This 449-nucleotide ribosomal RNA is filed under the name uncultured bacterium. RNAcentral's name for it is "partial 16S ribosomal RNA". It matches the Rfam family "Bacterial small subunit ribosomal RNA", at positions 30 to 523 of the family's 1533-position model. The record is from RNAcentral.